Molecule: ribosomal RNA, 253 nt
Filed under: uncultured bacterium
Lineage: Bacteria
Description: partial 16S ribosomal RNA
Rfam family: Bacterial small subunit ribosomal RNA
Source: RNAcentral
UACGGAGGGUGCAAACGUUGCUCGGAAUCAUUGGGCGUAAAGCGAACGUAGGCGGCAUUGCAAGUCGGGUGUGAAAGCCCUCAGCUUAACUGAGGAACUGCGUCUGAGACUGGCAAGCUUGAGUGCAGGAGAGGAACGCGGAAUUCCAGGUGUAGCGGUGAAAUGCGUAGAUAUCUGGAGGAACACCGGUGGCGAAGGCGGCGUUCUGGACUGUAACUGACACUGAUGAACGAAAGCCAGGGGAGCAAACGGG